AUAUCCCAUAACCAUAAUAAAGCGAAUUUGUAGUCGACUGAAAUAAUCAUUCAAAGAUAUAUUUCAACAAAAGGAAUGCCAAAGGGACUUGACUACAAAAUAUUAUUAAUAAUAAUAAUAAUAAUAUCUUUGAAACAUGCAAACAUCUUUGAUUUAGAAAUGGUCCCUAUCUUUUAUAAGAACCUUAGAAAAAUAUCUCGUGUUAACA
This 208-nucleotide long non-coding RNA is filed under the name Lathyrus oleraceus (garden pea). RNAcentral's name for it is "Pisum sativum (pea) long non-coding RNA (PSAT_LNC020124)". Lineage: Eukaryota; Viridiplantae; Streptophyta; Magnoliopsida; Fabales; Fabaceae. The record is from RNAcentral.